RNAcentral lists this transfer RNA (75 nucleotides) under Caudoviricetes sp. RNAcentral describes it as "tRNA-Thr". It matches the Rfam family "tRNA". Rfam says of the family: Transfer RNA (tRNA) molecules are approximately 80 nucleotides in length. Their secondary structure includes four short double-helical elements and three loops (D, anti-codon, and T loops). The record is from RNAcentral. Lineage: Duplodnaviria; Heunggongvirae; Uroviricota; Caudoviricetes.
GCUAUCGUAGCUCAAUUGGUAGAGCAACGCCCCUGUAAGGCGUAGGCUAUGUGUUCAAGGCACAUCGAUAGCCCA